Long non-coding RNA from Rhincodon typus (whale shark), 555 nucleotides. RefSeq lists it as uncharacterized. The transcript is spliced from 3 exons. NCBI's taxonomy places the organism in Eukaryota, Metazoa, Chordata, Chondrichthyes, Orectolobiformes, Rhincodontidae. The record is from RefSeq and is a predicted model, not a curated record.
GUGACGUUGUUGUGUGUGUUGGGGGAGGGGGCGGGAAGAGAAGCUCGAGCGGUUUCAGGCGGAGCGACAGCGGCGGAGGGAGCGGUAACCCCCAACCGAACCGAGAGCAGCAGAGCGAUCCACAUUUCCAGCACUGAGUAGCGUAAAUGAUUCUUGCACACCAGUCACUGAAAAUCCAACCUGCAUGGGUAUCAAAGCAACCUUGUGUAAAUUGCCACAGCAUGCAAAUCUAUUUUAAGUGUGACUGAUUGGCUUAAUGAAGUUGAUGAUCGACAGCAAAUUGUGGAAAUACAUCUCAGUGACACAGUGGACCUUGAGUUAAUGUUUGGGAGAUCCUGUUCAUCGGAACUAAUUACUAUAAAUCUUUUGCAUCAAUCUAUUCUCAAGGACAUUAAACAAAUAUGAGGUCUGAAAAAGAUGGAACCUACAAGGUUAGUAAAAUACUGAAUCUUUCAGAAAUGAAUUUGUGCCUUGCAAGCAUCUGCUUGGCUUGUGUUUUAUCCAACCCUCCUUUGAUUUCUGAUAACCACUGUAUUUGGUGCAAGAGUUCUAUAG